This 232-nucleotide unclassified non-coding RNA is filed under the name Hevea brasiliensis (rubber tree). The record is from RNAcentral. Lineage: Eukaryota; Viridiplantae; Streptophyta; Magnoliopsida; Malpighiales; Euphorbiaceae.
CUAGUCAAUGAGAACAAGAUGAAAAUUAUUAGAAGAGUAAAAAUCAAACUGCAUGAUGAUCAUAUAAAAGUGUUCGAUAAAGUGAGAUACGUUCCUAAAUUUAAAAAGGAAAUUAAUUUUCUUGGGUAAGUUGAAUUUUUUGGGUUAUAGAUAUUUGAUUCAUGGUGGAGUUACGAGAAUUAGCCGAGGUAUUUUUGUGAUAAUGAAUGAUGAGAAGAUUGGUACAAAGAAU